AAACACCCCUCCAUGCAGUGUGGAGAGUGAAAGGGGCAUGCAAAGGCUGGAGAAGAGAAAUCCAGGGAUCUGCUACAGUGGCCACAACACCAGUGCCUGGACCUGGGCAGGAAGUGCCCAUGGGAACAGAUCUGAGCCCUGUUGUGGAGCUGGGGAAAUUGUGACCCAGAAGUGGACAGUCAUCAACUAAAAGUCACAGAGCAAGUCAAUGGGAGAGAUGGGGCUAAACUCCAGGAGUCCCUAUGUCCAGCCCAGGGUUCAGUCCCUCUGUCAAGUACCUGCUAUUGUCUGUUAAAUACUUGGAGGAGCUGAAAUUUCCAGCCUGAAGAGUAGCAGUCUCAGAGGCCUCUGUCUCCAGAUAUCUGCAGGGCUGCACCAGAUCAGAGAGAGAAACUGUGCUCUGUGCCCUCUGAGCAUGGAGCUGAGGAUGAUGAAAAGAGUCACUGGGAGGCUGGAUUUGGUUCAGUGAGAGAAAGCUGUCUAGUGAUGACAGAGAUGACCCUGAAAGGUGGUGAGCUUCCCAUUCCCAGAGGUAUGUGAAUAGAAACCUUGAGCUUCCAGAAGGAGGUGGGCAGUGAGAGGUGUUGCAGGCAUGUUUUGCCAGCCACACAUUGGACAUCCCUUGCUUAGUCAAGAAGCCACAUCCAAACCCUCGGACCCUUUCACACUUGGAGCUUUUGUUUGAAAGGUCAGACUUCAACCCUCAAAAUGAAGAUGACUUUAAAAAGCUGGAGAUGGACCAAAAAGUAAACAAAAUGCAAUUAUAAUUUCAUAGAUGGAAAAUAAAACAAAUUGUUUUAAAAAGAAGAAGGAAAUAAAAUAAUACAUAAAUGGGU
Long non-coding RNA from Gorilla gorilla gorilla (western lowland gorilla), 836 nucleotides. RefSeq lists it as uncharacterized. The transcript is spliced from 3 exons. The record is from RefSeq and is a predicted model, not a curated record. Lineage: Eukaryota; Metazoa; Chordata; Mammalia; Primates; Hominidae.